Molecule: ribosomal RNA, 250 nt
Filed under: uncultured bacterium
Lineage: Bacteria
Description: partial 16S ribosomal RNA
Rfam family: Bacterial small subunit ribosomal RNA
Source: RNAcentral
UGGGGAAUCUUGGACAAUGGGCGCAAGCCUGAUCCAGCAAUGCCGCGUGGGUGAAGAAGGCCUUCGGGUUGUAAAGCCCUUUUGUUUGGGAGCAAAUCCUAACGGUUAAUACCUGUUGGGGAUGAGAGUACCAAAAGAAUCAGCACCGGCUAACUACGUGCCAGCAGCCGCGGUAAUACGUAGGGUGCAAGCGUUAAUCGGAAUUACUGGGCGUAAAGCGUGCGCAGGUGGUUUUACAAGACCGACGUGA